RNAcentral lists this transfer RNA (70 nucleotides) under Camelus bactrianus (Bactrian camel). It matches the Rfam family "tRNA". From Rfam's summary of the family: Transfer RNA (tRNA) molecules are approximately 80 nucleotides in length. Their secondary structure includes four short double-helical elements and three loops (D, anti-codon, and T loops). Further hydrogen bonds mediate the characteristic L-shaped molecular structure. tRNAs have two regions of fundamental functional importance: the anti-codon, which is responsible for specific mRNA codon recognition, and the 3' end, to which the tRNAs corresponding amino acid is attached (by aminoacyl-tRNA synthetases). tRNAs cope with the degeneracy of the genetic code in two manners: having more than one tRNA (with a specific anti-codon) for a particular amino acid; and 'wobble' base-pairing, i.e. permitting non-standard base-pairing at the 3rd anti-codon position. RNAcentral also lists the same sequence under 3 other names. Lineage: Eukaryota; Metazoa; Chordata; Mammalia; Artiodactyla; Camelidae. The record is from Rfam by way of RNAcentral.
GGGUAUAGCUCAGAGGUAGAGUGCGUGCCUAGCCUGCACAAGGUCCUGGGUUCAACCCCUAGUACUGCCA